This 2923-nucleotide ribosomal RNA is filed under the name Klebsiella quasipneumoniae. RNAcentral's name for it is "23S ribosomal RNA". It matches the Rfam family "Bacterial large subunit ribosomal RNA". The record is from RNAcentral. Lineage: Bacteria; Pseudomonadati; Pseudomonadota; Gammaproteobacteria; Enterobacterales; Enterobacteriaceae.
GGGUUGUGAGGUUAAGCGACUAAGCGUACACGGUGGAUGCCCUGGCAGUCAGAGGCGAUGAAGGACGUGCUAAUCUGCGAAAAGCGUCGGUAAGGUGAUAUGAACCGUUAUAACCGGCGAUGUCCGAAUGGGGAAACCCAGUGCAAUUCGUUGCACUAUCGUUAACUGAAUACAUAGGUUAACGAGGCGAACCGGGGGAACUGAAACAUCUAAGUACCCCGAGGAAAAGAAAUCAACCGAGAUUCCCCCAGUAGCGGCGAGCGAACGGGGAGCAGCCCAGAGUCUGAAUCAGCUUGUGUGUUAGUGGAACGGUCUGGAAAGUCCGACGGUACAGGGUGAUAGUCCCGUACACCAAAAUGCACAGGCUGUGAACUCGAAGAGUAGGGCGGGACACGUGGUAUCCUGUCUGAAUAUGGGGGGACCAUCCUCCAAGGCUAAAUACUCCUGACUGACCGAUAGUGAACCAGUACCGUGAGGGAAAGGCGAAAAGAACCCCGGCGAGGGGAGUGAAAAAGAACCUGAAACCGUGUACGUACAAGCAGUGGGAGCACCUUCGGGUGUGACUGCGUACCUUUUGUAUAAUGGGUCAGCGACUUAUAUUCUGUAGCAAGGUUAACCGUAUAGGGGAGCCGCAGGGAAACCGAGUCUUAACUGGGCGUUAAGUUGCAGGGUAUAGACCCGAAACCCGGUGAUCUAGCCAUGGGCAGGUUGAAGGUUGGGUAACACUAACUGGAGGACCGAACCGACUAAUGUUGAAAAAUUAGCGGAUGACUUGUGGCUGGGGGUGAAAGGCCAAUCAAACCGGGAGAUAGCUGGUUCUCCCCGAAAGCUAUUUAGGUAGCGCCUCGUGAAUUCAUCUUCGGGGGUAGAGCACUGUUUCGGCUAGGGGGUCAUCCCGACUUACCAACCCGAUGCAAACUACGAAUACCGAAGAAUGUUAUCACGGGAGACACACGGCGGGUGCUAACGUCCGUCGUGAAGAGGGAAACAACCCAGACCGCCAGCUAAGGUCCCAAAGUCAUGGUUAAGUGGGAAACGAUGUGGGAAGGCACAGACAGCCAGGAUGUUGGCUUAGAAGCAGCCAUCAUUUAAAGAAAGCGUAAUAGCUCACUGGUCGAGUCGGCCUGCGCGGAAGAUGUAACGGGGCUAAACCAUGCACCGAAGCUGCGGCAGCGACACGAUGUGUUGUUGGGUAGGGGAGCGUUCUGUAAGCCUGCGAAGGUGACCUGUGAGGGUUGCUGGAGGUAUCAGAAGUGCGAAUGCUGACAUAAGUAACGAUAAAGCGGGUGAAAAGCCCGCUCGCCGGAAGACCAAGGGUUCCUGUCCAACGUUAAUCGGGGCAGGGUGAGUCGACCCCUAAGGCGAGGCCGAAAGGCGUAGUCGAUGGGAAACAGGUUAAUAUUCCUGUACUUGGUGUUACUGCGAAGGGGGGACGGAGAAGGCUAUGUUAGCCGGGCGACGGUUGUCCCGGUUUAAGCAUGUAGGCUGGUUAUCCAGGCAAAUCCGGAUAAUCAAGGCUGAGGUGUGAUGACGAGGCACUACGGUGCUGAAGUAACAAAUGCCCUGCUUCCAGGAAAAGCCUCUAAGCAUCAGGUAACAUCAAAUCGUACCCCAAACCGACACAGGUGGUCAGGUAGAGAAUACCAAGGCGCUUGAGAGAACUCGGGUGAAGGAACUAGGCAAAAUGGUGCCGUAACUUCGGGAGAAGGCACGCUGGUGUGUAGGUGAAGUCCCUGCGGAUGGAGCUGAGACCAGUCGAAGAUACCAGCUGGCUGCAACUGUUUAUUAAAAACACAGCACUGUGCAAACACGAAAGUGGACGUAUACGGUGUGACGCCUGCCCGGUGCCGGAAGGUUAAUUGAUGGGGUUAUCCGUAAGGAGAAGCUCUUGAUCGAAGCCCCGGUAAACGGCGGCCGUAACUAUAACGGUCCUAAGGUAGCGAAAUUCCUUGUCGGGUAAGUUCCGACCUGCACGAAUGGCGUAAUGAUGGCCAGGCUGUCUCCACCCGAGACUCAGUGAAAUUGAACUCGCUGUGAAGAUGCAGUGUACCCGCGGCAAGACGGAAAGACCCCGUGAACCUUUACUAUAGCUUGACACUGAACAUUGAGCCUUGAUGUGUAGGAUAGGUGGGAGGCUUUGAAGCGUGGACGCCAGUCUGCGUGGAGCCAACCUUGAAAUACCACCCUUUAAUGUUUGAUGUUCUAACGUUGGCCCCUUAUCGGGGUUGCGGACAGUGUCUGGUGGGUAGUUUGACUGGGGCGGUCUCCUCCCAAAGCGUAACGGAGGAGCACGAAGGUUAGCUAAUCCUGGUCGGACAUCAGGAGGUUAGUGCAAUGGCAUAAGCUAGCUUGACUGCGAGCGUGACGGCGCGAGCAGGUGCGAAAGCAGGUCAUAGUGAUCCGGUGGUUCUGAAUGGAAGGGCCAUCGCUCAACGGAUAAAAGGUACUCCGGGGAUAACAGGCUGAUACCGCCCAAGAGUUCAUAUCGACGGCGGUGUUUGGCACCUCGAUGUCGGCUCAUCACAUCCUGGGGCUGAAGUAGGUCCCAAGGGUAUGGCUGUUCGCCAUUUAAAGUGGUACGCGAGCUGGGUUUAGAACGUCGUGAGACAGUUCGGUCCCUAUCUGCCGUGGGCGCUGGAGAAUUGAGGGGGGCUGCUCCUAGUACGAGAGGACCGGAGUGGACGCAUCACUGGUGUUCGGGUUGUCAUGCCAAUGGCACUGCCCGGUAGCUAAAUGCGGAAGAGAUAAGUGCUGAAAGCAUCUAAGCACGAAACUUGCCCCGAGAUGAGUUCUCCCUGAGACUUUAAGUCUCCUGAAGGAACGUUAAAGACGAUGACGUUGAUAGGCCGGGUGUGUAAGCGCAGCGAUGCGUUGAGCUAACCGGUACUAAUGAACCGUGAGGCUUAACCUUACAACGCCGAAG